AAGAUGUACCCAUAGAAUGCUAGUCAGGAUCCAUAGCAAAUCAGCUGUAACAUAAAGGCAGAUUGGCCUGGUGUGACAGAGGCUGCCUGCCUGCUUGCAUGUGUUAGGUGAAAGUACAAGGGCUGCUGCAAAAGUAAUGUCUCCUAUUUUAUUAUGUUAGUCUGUGACAUAAAAAGCAGAUGUAUGGCAGCAGAGCUUGAACCUUCCACCAGUAUUCCAUUAUAUUUUGUUGCUGUGUGACAUAUGGCAGCAGAGGCGCGGUCUGACAGAAUGACUUUCUGACAUGGAAGUGCAUAUGAAGCAAAGGUGUGGAAUUAAAUUCCUUAAGGUGGAAAAAAUUGCACCCAUUGACAUUCGUUGGCACCUGCUGAACAUUUAUGGAGACCAAACAGUAGCUGUGAGCACAGUGAGGUGGUGGGUGGUGCAUUUCAGCGGUAGCAACAGUGAUGUGAAAGACAAGCCAUGUUCCCAGCUGCCCUGCACAGAUGCCAUCCCAUGAAAUGAAGAGCAUCUCAAUCAGCUCAUCCACAUGAAUCUGCUAAUGAUGCAGCAAAAGAGACAGCUUUAUUGACUCAGAGGACCUGAGGUCUGCCUCGAGCAUCCCACUUCAUAAGCAAUGAGAAGGUCCAGUAGGCUGUGGCAACAGUGGAGGACUGAGGACCAGCAGAGCCUAUAGGCCAACUGCUGGAAACCAGGGACUGUCUAAGGUGUGAUCUUACCCCAGAUUUACUCAGAACAGCUGUCCAUUACACUUGAUAACAUCCUGGCACCCAAAAGAGCCAAGUACUUGUAUCAGACCUGAACAGUGGAAGUGGAAAGCAAGUCUGAAGGAUAAGUAUUGCAUUAUUAUAUUGAAUAAAAUGUUGGUUAGCAAUUGUUACAUAUUAAGUGGGAUCUGAAUUACUUAACACCCGUGCAAUCUAUUUUCUUCUCCAGAAACAGGGGACCGCUUGGAAGGACUGAGGUACCUCAACAAGAGCCAAGUAUUAUAUAAUCUGUGAAGGGUUUAUGACAGAGAUGGAAAUAAUUCUCAAAGACAAAAGCUAUUUAUAAGAUAUUUUCUGCAAAUAUUGCACUGUUUGGAUGGUUUUCAGUUG
Long non-coding RNA from Gallus gallus (chicken), 1097 nucleotides. The record is from Ensembl. Lineage: Eukaryota; Metazoa; Chordata; Aves; Galliformes; Phasianidae.